RNAcentral lists this ribosomal RNA (281 nucleotides) under uncultured soil bacterium. Its description in RNAcentral is "partial 16S ribosomal RNA". It matches the Rfam family "Bacterial small subunit ribosomal RNA", at positions 26 to 334 of the family's 1533-position model. The record is from RNAcentral.
AGAACGAACGCUGGCGGCAUGCCUAAUACAUGCAAGUCGAACGAACACUUCGGUGUUAGUGGCGCACGGGUGCGUAACGCGUGGGAAUCUGCCCUUGGGUUCGGAAUAACAGUUGGAAACGACUGCUAAUACCGGAUGAUGACGAAAGUCCAAAGAUUUAUCGCCCAGGGAUGAGCCCGCGUAGGAUUAGCUAGUUGGUGAGGUAAAGGCUCACCAAGGCGACGAUCCUUAGCUGGUCUGAGAGGAUGAUCAGCCACACGUGGGACUGAGACACGGCCCAG